Molecule: long non-coding RNA, 294 nt
Filed under: Canis lupus familiaris (dog)
Lineage: Eukaryota; Metazoa; Chordata; Mammalia; Carnivora; Canidae
Description: lncRNA (ENSCAFG00000057618.1, ENSCAFG00845020891.1)
Source: RNAcentral
CACUAAAAGAUCUUGGGACAUCUGACCAAAAAACCAGCAGAAGUCCUAUUUCCAAACCCCUUCGGAACUGAGGCGUUCUGUUCCUGGCAACUCCCUCUGGGCAAGGGGAAUGUCUAGAGGCAGACUCAUCUGUUGACCUCACUGCCAAAAUUUCUGGAAGCUGUAGAAGGGAAGUCUGGAGGGAGCACCAUAGCAUCCACUGUGGAUAUAUGUAUUGUGAAGAUUAUCUCCCAUAAAUACUUGUUAUCUUCAUUGGACUCAGUGGUUUGGAAUGUGGAAGAAAUUUCUGUUUAA